Molecule: long non-coding RNA, 2210 nt
Filed under: Sus scrofa (pig)
Lineage: Eukaryota; Metazoa; Chordata; Mammalia; Artiodactyla; Suidae
Description: lncRNA (ENSSSCG00065050864.1)
Source: RNAcentral
UUUUUUAUUUUUAUUUUUUUUGGCUUUUUUUUUGGGCUGCUCCCGCGGCAUAUGGAAGUUCCCAGGCUAGGGGUUGAAUCGGAGCUGUAGCCACCGGCCUACAUCAGAGCCACAGCAACGCAGGAUCCGAGCCGCGUCUGCAACCUACACCACAGCUCACGGCAACACCGGAUUGUUAACCCACUGAGCAAGGGCAGGGACCGAACCCGCAACCUCAUGGUUCCUAGUCGGAUUCGUUAACCACUGCGCCACGAUGGGAACUCCAUUAUUAAGUUUAAAUACAUUGAUUAAUUAAUUAAUUUUCUUCUUAGGGCUGCACCCAUGGCAUAUAGAAGUUUCCGGGCUAGGGGUCAAAUCCAAGGGGUAACUGCUGGCCUACACCACAGCCAUAGCAAUGCCGUGUCUGUGAGCUACACCACAGCUCAUGGCAACACUGGAUCGUUAACUCACUGAGAGAGGCCAGGGAUCGAACCUGUGUCCUCAUGGAUGCUAGUCAGAUUCGUUUCCACUGCACCAUGAUGGGAACUUCAAAUUAUUUUUUUUUAAUGAAUGAAUACAACAUACAAAAAAUUAUACGAUACAGAUAAUAUAAAGCCAUGGGAAAAUUAAUAGUUUAAAAUAUUUUGAAUAGGAAAUAUGAACCAACCAUGCAACUUAAGAAGCUAGAAAGAAAAUAGAAAAACUAUGGGAAUAGUAAGAAAUUGCAAUAGCUAGUUCUUCACAACUACCUGUGGCAAAGCUAAUCAAGAAACUGAUUAUCACCAUACUGUAUGGAGGUUCCUCAAAAAACUAAAAAUACAGUUGCCAUAUCCAACAAUCCCACUCUUGGCACAUAUCCAGACAAAACUGUAAUUUGAAAAAAUACAUGUACCCCUAUGUGCAUAAUAGCACUAUUUAUGAUAGCCAGGGCAUGGAAACAUUGUAAAUGUCCAAGAACAGAUGAAAGGAUAUGAAGAUAUGGUGCAAAGAUAUACAUAUAAUUGAAUAUAACUCUUCCAUCAAAAAGAAUGAAAUAAUGUCAUUUGCAGCAACAUGAAUGGAUCUAGAGGUUAUCAUACUAAGCAAGAUAAAAAAAACAAAUACUAUGUGAUAUCACUUAUAUGUGGUAUCUAAAGUACAACACUAAUCAAUAUAACCAUGAAACAAAAAUAUACUUACAGAUAUAGACAACAGCCCUGUGUUUGCCCAGGGGGAAAGGAAAGUAAGGAAGGGAAGGAUUGGGAGUUUGAGAUGAGCAAAGGCAAAUUAUUAUAUAUAAGAUGGAUAAACAAGGUCUUAGGGUGUAGCACAGGGAAAUAUAUUCAAUAUCCUUUGACAAACCAUAAUGGAAAAGAAUAUGAAACACACACACACACAAGCCACUUUGCUGUACAGCAGAAAUGAACACAACCCUGUAAAUCAACUACUUAAAUAAUUUUUUGAAAAGUUAGUUUUAAGACACAUGGUAAACAACAAAGACAAAGAAAAUGAUAUCUCAUAUUAAGAAUGAAAAAAUGCCCCCUCACACCAUGCGCAAAAAUAAACUCAAAAUGGCUUCAAGACUUACGCAUAGGACAAACACCAUAAAACUCCUAGAACGUAGGCAAAACAUUCUCUGACGUCGACUGUACAAAUAUUUUCUUAGGUCAGUCUCCCAAGGCAAUAGAAAUAAAAGCAAAAAUAAACCAAUGGGAUCUUAUUAAACUUAACAAGCUUUUGCACAGCAAAGGAAACCAUUAAAAAAAAAAAAAAAAAGACAACCAACAGAAUGGGAGAUAAUAUACACAAAUGAUGCAACUGAUAAAGGCUUAAUCUCCAAAAUAUAAAAACAACUCAUACAGCUCAAUAGCAAAAGAUGUACAGUAGAAAAAAAAAUUGUAUUGGGGAAAUAACAAAAAAAUUUAAAAAAGAACAAAUAAAUGAACAAUAAUUAUAAUGGGAAACAACAACAACAAACGACCCAGUUGAAAAGUGGAUAGAGACCUAAAUAGACAUUUCUCCAAAGAAGACAUAGAGAUGGCCAACAGGCACAUUAAAAAAUGCUCAAUGCUCAGACACAACUUAGAAUAGAUUUACAAGGAGAUCCUGCUGAAUAGCAUUGAGAACUAUGUCUAGAUACUCAUGUUGCAACAGAAGAAAGGGUGGGGGGAAAAAUGUAAUUGUAAUGUACACAUGUAAGGAUAACCUGACCCCCCUGCUGUACAGUGGGAAAAUAAAAAAAAAUAUUAAAA